This 379-nucleotide ribosomal RNA is filed under the name Gemella morbillorum. RNAcentral's name for it is "bacterial SSU rRNA". It matches the Rfam family "Bacterial small subunit ribosomal RNA", at positions 28 to 394 of the family's 1533-position model. Lineage: Bacteria; Bacillati; Bacillota; Bacilli; Caryophanales; Gemellaceae. The record is from RNAcentral.
GACGAACGCUGGCGGCGUGCCUAAUACAUGCAAGUCGAGCGAAGUUUUUCUGGUGCUUGCACUAGAAAAACUUAGCGGCGAACGGGUGAGUAACACGUAAAGAACCUGCCUCAUAGACUGGGACAACUAUUGGAAACGAUAGCUAAUACCGGAUAACAGUAUUUCUCGCAUGAGAGAUAUUUAAAAGUUGGUUAUGCUAACACUAUGAGAUGGCUUUGCGGUGCAUUAGCUAGUUGGUGGGGUAAAGGCCUACCAAGGCGACGAUGCAUAGCCGACCUGAGAGGGUGAUCGGCCACACUGGGACUGAGACACGGCCCAGACUCCUACGGGAGGCAGCAGUAGGGAAUCUUCCGCAAUGGGCGAAAGCCUGACGGAGCAA